This 260-nucleotide long non-coding RNA is filed under the name Physcomitrium patens. RNAcentral's name for it is "long non-coding RNA (PPAT_LNC000765)". Lineage: Eukaryota; Viridiplantae; Streptophyta; Bryopsida; Funariales; Funariaceae. The record is from RNAcentral.
AAUUUUAUGUAAUACAAGAAAAUAGUAUAAAUUCUAUAUUUUUGAACCUUUCUAUACCAAUUAUGUAUUAUUGUAGUACUUAAAAUUAGUGUAUCAACUUGAGUGGUAUAAGUAUAAUAUGUAUUAUCAUACAAGAAUUGUAUUGAAGAAGCAUCUUUUUGUUGUGCUACAUUUGAUAUGACGCACAAGUUGUGUUAUAAUUGUGUGCUCAAUAAUGUGAAAAAAAAUCAAAAAAAAUCAAAAUAGAUCUAUGGCAACUA